Molecule: ribosomal RNA, 466 nt
Filed under: uncultured bacterium
Lineage: Bacteria
Description: partial 16S ribosomal RNA
Rfam family: Bacterial small subunit ribosomal RNA
Source: RNAcentral
CUACGGGUGGCAGCAGUGGGGAAUAUUGGACAAUGGGGGAAACCCUGAUCCAGCAAUGCCGCGUGUGUGAAGAAGGCCUGCGGGUUGUAAAGCACUUUCGGUUGGGAGGACUGCUUCUAGCACUAAUAUUGUUGGAAGUUGACGUUACCUUCAGAAGAAGCACCGGCUAACUCCGUGCCAGCAGCCGCGGUAAUACGAAGGGGUGCAAGCGUUAAUCGGAAUUACUGGGCGUAAAGCGCGCGUAGGCGGCUAGAUCAGUCGGGUGUGAAAGCCCCGGGCUUAACCUGGGAACUGCAUCCGAUACUGUCUAGCUUGAGUACAGGAGAGGAGAGUGGAAUUCCACAUGUAGCGGUGAAAUGCGUAGAUAUGUGGAGGAACACCAAUGGCGAAGGCAGCUCUCUGGCCUGAUACUGACGCUGAGGUGCGAAAGCGUGGGGAGCAAACAGGAUUAGAUACCCCUGUAGUC